Molecule: ribosomal RNA, 432 nt
Filed under: Staphylococcus aureus
Lineage: Bacteria; Bacillati; Bacillota; Bacilli; Caryophanales; Staphylococcaceae
Description: bacterial SSU rRNA
Rfam family: Bacterial small subunit ribosomal RNA
Source: RNAcentral
UUCCGCAAUGGGCGAAAGCCUGACGGAGCAACGCCGCGUGAGUGAUGAAGGUCUUCGGAUCGUAAAACUCUGUUAUUAGGGAAGAACAUAUGUGUAAGUAACUGUGCACAUCUUGACGGUACCUAAUCAGAAAGCCACGGCUAACUACGUGCCAGCAGCCGCGGUAAUACGUAGGUGGCAAGCGUUAUCCGGAAUUAUUGGGCGUAAAGCGCGCGUAGGCGGUUUUUUAAGUCUGAUGUGAAAGCCCACGGCUCAACCGUGGAGGGUCAUUGGAAACUGGAAAACUUGAGUGCAGAAGAGGAAAGUGGAAUUCCAUGUGUAGCGGUGAAAUGCGCAGAGAUAUGGAGGAACACCAGUGGCGAAGGCGACUUUCUGGUCUGUAACUGACGCUGAUGUGCGAAAGCGUGGGGAUCAAACAGGAUUAGAUACCCC